GCGGAAGAACUWUUUAGGUAGCGCCUCGGACGAAUACUACUGGGGGUAGAGCACUGUUAAGGCUAGGGGGUCAUCCCGACUUACCAAC
Molecule: ribosomal RNA, 88 nt
Filed under: Vibrio parahaemolyticus
Lineage: Bacteria; Pseudomonadati; Pseudomonadota; Gammaproteobacteria; Vibrionales; Vibrionaceae
Description: partial 23S ribosomal RNA
Source: RNAcentral